CAUUUGUGUGAACCAUAAAGAGAGGGCUAUAAGACAAUGCUCAGAUGUUACCCGACACCCACAUGUCUAUAUAAAAUGGGUAGGUUAGACUCGGACCUCUGCCAGAAGCAAUGCGGACACAGUGGAACAUAUAUACACCUCUGGUGGCAAUGUCCCAAACUGACCCCAUUAUGGGUAGAAGUCGCACCCCUCACACACACACAAGCACAGAACACCUCACACAGACAGAG
Molecule: non-coding RNA, 230 nt
Organism: Pelobates cultripes (western spadefoot toad)
Lineage: Eukaryota; Metazoa; Chordata; Amphibia; Anura; Pelobatidae
Source: the annotation of a GenBank genome assembly